RNAcentral lists this ribosomal RNA (277 nucleotides) under uncultured bacterium. Its description in RNAcentral is "partial 16S ribosomal RNA". It matches the Rfam family "Bacterial small subunit ribosomal RNA", at positions 28 to 303 of the family's 1533-position model. The record is from RNAcentral.
GACGAACGCUGGCGGCGUGCUUAACACAUGCAAGUCGAACGGAAAGGCCCAGCUUGCUGGGUGCUCGAGUGGCGAACGGGUGAGUAACACGUGGGUGAUCUGCCCUGCACUUUGGGAUAAGCCUGGGAAACUGGGUCUAAUACCGGAUAGGACCAUGGCGUGCAUGUGCUGUGGUGGAAAGUCUGUGGACGGUGUGGGAUGGGCCCGCGGCCUAUCAGCUUGUUGGUGGGGUGAUGGCCUACCAAGGCUGCGACGGGUAGCCGGCCUGAGAGGGUGU